This 301-nucleotide ribosomal RNA is filed under the name uncultured bacterium. RNAcentral describes it as "partial 16S ribosomal RNA". It matches the Rfam family "Bacterial small subunit ribosomal RNA", at positions 509 to 807 of the family's 1533-position model. The record is from RNAcentral.
CAGCAGCCACGGUAAUACGUAGGUGGCAAGCGUUGUCCGGAAUUAUUGGGCGUAAAGGGCUCGCAGGCGGUUUCUUAAGUCUGAUGUGAAAGCCCCCGGCUCAACCGGGGAGGGUCAUUGGAAACUGGGAAACUUGAGUGCAGAAGAGGAGAGUGGAAUUCCACGUGUAGCGGUGAAAAGCGUAGAGAUGUGGAGGAACACCAGUGGCGAAGGCGACUCUCUGGUCUGUAACUGACGCUGAGGAGCGAAAGCGUGGGGAGCGAACAGGAUUAGAUACCCCAGUAGUCCCUGUCUCUUAUAC